AUCAUUCUCUCCAUUAUCUUCAGCUGCAAGUUCGUCCCAUCUUGACAUUAUACCAGCAUAUUCAUCCUCCUCGUAUGCACCCAUUUUAUUGUCUGCUUCAGCCACACUAGGAGUCAGAAAAUGGAGCAUUUAAAAUAUUUGAAUGUGUUGACAAUUAAUUAAUUCUGAGUUAGAAAGAGAUGUAUUCUCGUACAAGUUCUUGAGUUGUGCCAUUGAAGCCAUGAUCCUUUAAGAUUUCAUAGGUUCAAGGUCGUUGAACAUAUAGACUUUAGUAAAUAUGCAACAUCUAUAUACUUUAGGACUUUCGAGUUGUAUGGAUCUAGAAGAAGUGAAGAUCAAUAGUGCAUGGAUUGCAAGUGCAGGAUGCUUCCAUAGCCUUCGAUUUCUAUCCUUAUUUAGCUGCCAUAAACUGAGGGAUGUGAGUUGGGUAACUUUUGCUCAACAUUUGAAAGAACUAUCUAUAUGGAAAUGCCUAGGUUUAGAAGAAAUUACCAGUUGGGAAAAACAUAGUGAAGUUGCUGAGUUGAAGGAAAAAUGGCCAAUGUUGAAGAAGCUCCCACUAAACUUCAAUAGUGCCCUUUAUCAACUCUCUCAUGAGUCACAUCAAUUUCCAUUCUUUUCCUAUGAUACUCAUGUGAGUUUUAGCCUUCAAAUUUUUUGAAUCAAUGGGAAUAAGAAGCUUAGCAGAGGAGGAAUUUGAAGCUUCAAGAGACAUGAUUUUAUUUUAUUGGUGCUUAAAACUUAAAAAUUUUAGAAUGAUAUUAAUAUAAUUUAUUCCCUUUAAUUAAAAAUAAUAUUUUUAUUAAACAAACUUAAAUAAUUUUAGAAAUUAUGAUUAAUCAUUUAAGGCUUGUAAUUCACGCUAGAUCAAACUGGUUAAAAAGAUGGUUAGUAGUCCUAUCAUUGGUGAUUUUAUAUUUUUAUUAAUACAAUUUAACGAACUAACAAGAAAUUGAUUGUUGCCCCUAACAAUGAUUUUCCAGGCAAUCAAGACUCUCGAACAUGAUAUAUGAAGAUUACCUUGAAAUCUGAAGAACAUGAUGAUAUUUUGCAGCUUCUUUAUUUUUUUUUUGGAUUUGGUUUGAUUUUAAUUUAGAUACCAGUUAAAUCUAUUUAGUUCAAGUAUAAUGACAAAAUGUAUUAAUGAUAAAAAUUAACCUAUCAUGAACUCAAGAAUAAAAAGUAGGGUUUAUAUUUUGUGGUGGAUAUUGCAGGGUUCAGGAGGUAGAAAAAUGGGAAGAUGCAAAGAGUGAGGCAGAAUUGACCAAAUAAACUAGUCUGAGCCAGUUCUUCUUUUUGUUCAACAAAAUUGCUUAAGUAGUAAUUCAAUACCUUUCAAUUUCAUCAUCUAAGUAAUUGUUUAUUAGUAAGAUAUGUCAACUGUUGAUGACAAAGUGAAAGCCACCUUUCAACAACAUACAUUAUCAGCACUGCAAUACAAAUAAAAGAUAUUAAAAUGAAGUAUUCGCAUUUGAAUGAAUUUUCAAUAAUAAAUAUAGUCAUUAAAUACCAAAGGAUUAUGAAUAUCUAAAAUGACUAGACGAGGAAAGUACAUGUGUAAAGCCCAAAAUCUGCCCGGGGCCCGAAACUCAGAAGCCCAAAAUCCAGACGCAGCAUGCCUAGGGCGCGCCGCUCCAGCCUCUGCCCAACCCCUCGCACGCCUCUACUCCGCGCCAGCCUCCACGACGCCCAUU
RNAcentral lists this long non-coding RNA (1694 nucleotides) under Gossypium barbadense (sea-island cotton). RNAcentral describes it as "long non-coding RNA (GBAR_LNC000021)". The record is from RNAcentral. Lineage: Eukaryota; Viridiplantae; Streptophyta; Magnoliopsida; Malvales; Malvaceae.